RNAcentral lists this small RNA (292 nucleotides) under Brevibacillus sp. WF146. RNAcentral describes it as "BsrG". It matches the Rfam family "BsrG". From Rfam's summary of the family: bsrE, bsrG and bsrH pair through intermolecular interactions with antisense sRNAs. SR4 interaction with the 3'UTR of bsrG RNA promotes bsrG degradation and inhibits its translation. SR5 also overlaps bsrG from nucleotide 163 to 52 (Rfam overlap check). The record is from Rfam by way of RNAcentral. Lineage: Bacteria; Bacillati; Bacillota; Bacilli; Caryophanales; Paenibacillaceae.
UACAAUAGAAUCGGCUCCUCAAGGGUGGUCGCGGCUCAUCUCCCAUGUCGGAAACAGGGGGAGGUGAGAUCCAUGGCAAUAACGUACGAAGCACUAUCCCUCAUGAUUCAGUUUGGCGGCUUCAUCGUCGGCCUGCUGGGUCUUGUCGUGACGAUCGUCGUUGCCUUGACUCAAAAAAAGAAGUAGAUCACCCUUGAGCCUGGCAGCUUGGUGAUCUACUCUCUUCUGCAGUAGAGCCGCCCCCUUGUGGGGAACGUCUAUUGUGCAGGGCCGGAGCGCGGCAACGCUCUUG